GACGAACGCUGGCGGCGUGCUUAACACAUGCAAGUCGAACGGAAAGGCCCUGCUUUUGUGGCGUGCUCGAGUGGCGAACGGGUGAGUAACACGUGUGUAACCUGCCCUUGACUUUGGGGUAACUUCAGGAAAAUGGGGCUAAUACCGGAUAGGAGCUCCUGCUGCAUGGUGGGGGUUGGAAAGUUACGGCGGUUGGGGCUGGUCUCGCGGGUUAUCAGCUUGUUGGUGGGGUAGUGACUUACAAAGGCUUUGACGGGUAGCCGGCCUGAGAGCGUGGACGGGGUCAAUGGUACUGAGGUACGGACCAGUAUCGUACCGUACGCAGUGGGCGAGAGUCUGACGGAGUGACGGGGAGCGAGUGGCAGCGACGCCGGGAUCGUAAUGACGGGUUUCGAGGUGAGAACAGAUGUGGCAGGAAACGAGGAGAGAGUGACGGUAACUAGUAAGAAAGCAACGGCUAACUACGUG
RNAcentral lists this ribosomal RNA (468 nucleotides) under uncultured bacterium. RNAcentral's name for it is "partial 16S ribosomal RNA". It matches the Rfam family "Bacterial small subunit ribosomal RNA", at positions 28 to 507 of the family's 1533-position model. The record is from RNAcentral.